CUAGAGUUGUUUGAAAUUAUCUGAAUUAUGUUGAUUCACUAUGUUAUGACUGGUUUUGCUCUUUGUAGACAUGACAACAAAUAGAGAUGUUGCAGAUUAGGCUACUGGUCAUGGUCAUAGUCGUGGUAGAGUAAGGGCUUCUUCUGGUACUCCUAGGAAUUCUGGAUCCUCUCCCUCUACUCCAACUACUCUAGUGACGUCCCAAGUUGCGAGUUUAUUGGACCAGCCGCUCAUCAUGGUCCAUAACCCCAACUACGUCCCUCAGUCUACAGCGAUGCCGCCGCCUCCAUCCGCUUAGCAGCCCAAUGCCACGGCAACGCCGCCUCCAGCGAUGGACACCGCAACCCCAGAAUCCUCUCACGAAAGUGAGCCAACUAAUGCCCCUCUUCUACCUCCCAUUGUACGGUUGACAAUUUGUCCUAAUGGCAGAUCAUAGUAAGUAUCAUUUUAAGUCUUCUAUAUACUGAAAGUAUU
Molecule: long non-coding RNA, 474 nt
Filed under: Arachis ipaensis
Lineage: Eukaryota; Viridiplantae; Streptophyta; Magnoliopsida; Fabales; Fabaceae
Description: long non-coding RNA (AIPA_LNC001930)
Source: RNAcentral